Molecule: non-coding RNA, 30 nt
Filed under: Mus musculus (house mouse)
Lineage: Eukaryota; Metazoa; Chordata; Mammalia; Rodentia; Muridae
Source: RNAcentral
UUGAAGUGUAGAGCCUUUACUCUUCCAGUU